This is a non-coding RNA of Gongylonema pulchrum, 72 nucleotides long. The record is from Rfam. Lineage: Eukaryota; Metazoa; Nematoda; Chromadorea; Rhabditida; Gongylonematidae.
UGGCAAUGACGAGACCAAUUUGGUCCGUGUUUCUGACGGAAUGAAUGACGUUAAACCGCAUGUUCUGAGCCA